UAUCCUAAUUCAGAGCAUAGCCCUUUAAGUUUACAUUUCAGGAGACAGAAUUUGUACAAGCAUCAAAUGUGACCAGACCGACAAGCUUCUUUUUCUGGUUCUGAAGAAUCCAUCUGAUGGAUCCUUUCAGUCUACUUAGCAUUCCCUAACUAUGACAGUCUCACCAGAAACUGAGGACUAAGUUUGAACAGAGGGGAUCAGUGCACUGCUCUUUUUACAACGCAGAGAGAGGAGAACAAUCACCUUUUCUCCAGAGCCUAAACCUCAACCAGCACAGCUCUAAGGCUCCCCCAGGACUCCUGCCCGACUGCUUGUAAAUGAACUCCAAGAGUCGAGACUCAAAACAACCUGUCAGAUCUCGGCACCACCGAAGGAAUCUUUCGGUGCAGCCGUGGAGGUGAGCUGAGUAGAGAAGAUCUUGUGCAGGGAAAAGAGUGAUGAAAGUCAACUUUUGACACAUCUUUCAGUGGAUUUUGACACGGCUGUUCGCUCUGGCUCCCGGUCGACAAGUCUCCCUGAGUCACCGGAGGCUCGUGCCAACUGGAGGGAAAGAGCCUGACCACUAACAAGUGCUCACUGACUCAUAGCCACCACAGUAUGUCCCACUGUGUGUGUGAGUGUGUGUGAGUGUGCAUGUGUCCCAAUAUACUAUUCUUUUAUAUACUAGUCUAUUUCCCACUUUGCACCCAUCCCACAGAAAAUGUGUGAUCUUUUAGAAAAGAUCAUGUAUUUUAGAUCAGACGCAGUGCCCACCCAAGUGACUGUCAUCAGUAACAAUGAAGCAUGAAUGAAAUAAAGCUAAAUGAAACCA
Notolabrus celidotus (New Zealand spotty) is the source of this 811-nucleotide long non-coding RNA. RefSeq lists it as uncharacterized. The transcript is spliced from 4 exons. NCBI's taxonomy places the organism in Eukaryota, Metazoa, Chordata, Actinopteri, Labriformes, Labridae. The record is from RefSeq and is a predicted model, not a curated record.